GCUCUGUGAUGAACCCCAUGCGUGUCAUCUGAGCCUGACUUUCCCUGUUGUCUCAGCCCCGGUAGUGUUCUACUUCCCAGGGCUACUGCCUUGCCUGGCAGGGAGGUCCUGGGCAAAGGAUCAAUCUUUGUAUUCUGAGAGC
This is a small nucleolar RNA of Cynocephalus volans (Philippine flying lemur), 142 nucleotides long. RefSeq annotates it as small nucleolar RNA SNORD10. Lineage: Eukaryota; Metazoa; Chordata; Mammalia; Dermoptera; Cynocephalidae. The transcript has a single exon. The record is from RefSeq and is a predicted model, not a curated record.